UAGUAAAAUUGCAAAGUUUGGUUGCGAAAUGUUGUAAAAUGAGGAAAAUAUAGUACUGUGAAGUUCGAAAAUUUUGUAUGUAUUUGCAUUGCGUGCGUGAAAAAUACCCGUAACCAUUUUUGAGCCGAAAGUGGUUAUUUUUACCGCGCGUAUUAAACACAGAUCUAUACAAAAUUUGCGAACUAUAUUUUCCUCAUUUUACAACAUUUCGCAACCAAACUUUGCAAUUGUACUA
Non-coding RNA from Paramuricea clavata, 235 nucleotides. The record is from the annotation of a GenBank genome assembly. Lineage: Eukaryota; Metazoa; Cnidaria; Anthozoa; Malacalcyonacea; Plexauridae.